This 305-nucleotide ribosomal RNA is filed under the name uncultured bacterium. RNAcentral's name for it is "bacterial SSU rRNA". It matches the Rfam family "Bacterial small subunit ribosomal RNA", at positions 338 to 658 of the family's 1533-position model. The record is from RNAcentral.
CCUACGGGGCGCAGCAGUGGGGGAUAUUGCACAAUGGGGGAAACCCUGAUGCAGCGACGCCGCGUGGGCGAAGAAGUAUUUCGGUAUGUAAAGCCCUAUCAGCAGGGAAGAAGAAAUGACGGUACCUGAGUAAGAAGCACCGGCUAAAUACGUGCCAGCAGCCGCGGUAAUACGUAUGGUGCAAGCGUUAUCCGGAUUUACUGGGUGUAAAGGGAGCGUAGACGGCAUAGCAAGUCUGAAGUGAAAGCCCGUGGCUCAACCGCGGAACUGCUUUGGAAACUGUUAAGCUGGAGUACUGGAGAGGC